UGAACCACGUAUACAACACGCGAAAAAUGCAAUCACGGUUAGUUAUCUUUUGUAUUGUGUUUCCGCGUGAUGGAUAUGCUGUGUCAACGCCCCGCUAUAGCCCCGCGAUGAAGCAAAACGCAUUGAGCUGUACCAAGCGAGAAGCAAUGAACCAAAUGGUUCAGAGCAGACUCGCUUUUGUAUUAAUAAAUGAAGUUAAGGCUGAAGGUAAACAUUCAUUAAGCUGCGGAUGUAAAUACAUGACAAAAUGUUCGUGAAUGCAUGAUGUGCAUUUUCACAUCGCAGUCAAAGACUGACCUCCCCUGAACAACUUCACUAACUAUUCCGCUAGAUCUGCAUAAAUUGCUGUAAAUUUCAAUGACAGAUUGAUGAGACAAAUAUAUAAGAUCGCGCAUUUCCUUCUUGCAGCGUUAGCACUCGCGUUUGAGCUAUUUGUAGCAACGUACACACGAUUUUUCUGUUCAUAUGUCGAUACCGAAACUGAAACUGAGGUGGUGGUGGCGUGGUGGCGCUUGUGUCGCCAACAUCGCCCUGUCGCUUUUUUUUUUUCUUUCCAAACAUGGCGGCGUCCUGCAUUUCGUGUGUGCGUCGUAGUGUCGAGUUUUGUUCAUGCGGUCGACCUUUACUGCGUUACCUCGCAUUGUGUGUUGUGUGUUGCGGUUACUGACGUAAGCGCAAGUUCUUCACUGAGUAUGAUCCGCGGCACCGUGCAAAUAGUCACCAGAUGCCGGCCGUGCGACUCCGUUCUCUGCGACUCCUUUGUUCGGUGUGAUCGAGGGACGUGAUUCUUAGCUUUGGAGACCCUCUUUACACCGUGCCCUCUUCAAACGUUUCCACACAUCAGUGAGUAGCAGCACCGCAAUCUUUACUCGACGGCACGCUCCGUGGGCCUAGAAAAUGCCUUGACGUUCGAGCACUUCGGGAGCUAUACCGGCGGACAGCCGGAUGCGGGUAGCUUGGCCGUUCCUUGCUCUGCGCAUCGCUUGAAAACCGGCGGUCAUCCUGCAGUGCACGCUGCCAGCGUGCUUUCUUGCCAGAGCCACCUCCCCUGCUGGUGAUGACCAUAUGCAGCCAAUGCUGAUGUGAACCCGAGGGAUUAACAAAUGCAGAUCUGCAAAGGAGCUGUCCUGAGGCACCAUGCUUACUCAAGUCAUGCAGCGAGAGUCAGCAUGCCUGGAAAAGUACAUCAAAGCACACCCCAUCUGGCUGACUGCACUACCUCAAGGAAACUGCCUUUCUCCUAUCUGCAAGUUCCUAAGAAGUUACUAUAUGAAGCAAGCCAGCAGGGCGUACGUGUUAGGCAUGGCAGCAUGGAGAACAAAUAAACAUGAGUAUUUGGUGCAAGAUGCAUUCAUUGAUUUUGUGCUGCAUCAACAUGUGGCUGCAUGCUUGGCCACGUGUAGACACAGCAAGUAAACUCGUUAACCUCAAUGGUAAAAGGUUAUCUAUAAUCACGUUAAGAAGCACGAUGUCUUAUUUUUGUAAAUAAUUGCAUAGCUCGACUUUGACUCAGGCAUCCAACACCCAUCGUUAUCUACCCAUUAUCUGCCCAUCACCCAGCAUACACCCAGUAUGUCCAUCACCCACCGUCCACCCACCAGCCGUCCAUCAUCCACCAUCUGUCCACCAUCCGUCCAUCAUCCACCAUCUGUCCACCAUCCGUCCAUCAUCCACCAUCUGUCCACCAUCCGUCCAUCACCCACCAUCUGUCCACCAUGCGUCCAUCAUUACCCAGUACCAUAAUCCACCAAGAUGAUGGGUAGUGGGUCCCAUCAUGCCCACCA
Rhipicephalus sanguineus (brown dog tick) is the source of this 1784-nucleotide long non-coding RNA. RefSeq lists it as uncharacterized. The transcript is spliced from 4 exons. The record is from RefSeq and is a predicted model, not a curated record. NCBI's taxonomy places the organism in Eukaryota, Metazoa, Arthropoda, Arachnida, Ixodida, Ixodidae.